This 811-nucleotide ribosomal RNA is filed under the name uncultured bacterium. Its description in RNAcentral is "bacterial SSU rRNA". It matches the Rfam family "Bacterial small subunit ribosomal RNA", at positions 58 to 917 of the family's 1533-position model. The record is from RNAcentral.
CAAGUCGACGAACUCUUCGGAGUUAGUGGCGGACGGGUGAGUAACACGUGGGAACGUGCCUUUAGGUUCGGAAUAACUCAGGGAAACUUGUGCUAAUACCGAAUGUGCCCUUCGGGGGAAAGAUUUAUCGCCUUUAGAGCGGCCCGCGUCUGAUUAGCUAGUUGGUGAGGUAAAGGCUCACCAAGGCGACGAUCAGUAGCUGGUCUGAGAGGAUGAUCAGCCACAUUGGGACUGAGACACGGCCCAAACUCCUACGGGAGGCAGCAGUGGGGAAUCUUGCGCAAUGGGCGAAAGCCUGACGCAGCCAUGCCGCGUGAAUGAUGAAGGUCUUAGGAUUGUAAAAUUCUUUCACCGGGGACGAUAAUGACGGUACCCGGAGAAGAAGCCCCGGCUAACUUCGUGCCAGCAGCCGCGGUAAUACGAAGGGGGCUAGCGUUGCUCGGAAUUACUGGGCGUAAAGGGAGCGUAGGCGGACAUCUAAGUCAGGGGUGAAAUCCCGGGGCUCAACCUCGGAAUUGCCUUUGAUACUGGGUGUCUUGAGUAUGAGAGAGGUGUGUGGAACUCCGAGUGUAGAGGUGAAAUUCGUAGAUAUUCGGAAGAACACCAGUGGCGAAGGCGACACACUGGCUCAUUACUGACGCUGAGGCUCGAAAGCGUGGGGAGCAAACAGGAUUAGAUACCCUGGUAGUCCACGCCGUAAACGAUGAUUGCUAGUUGUCGGGAUGCAUGCAUUUCGGUGACGCAGCUAACGCAUUAAGCAAUCCGCCUGGGGAGUACGGUCGCAAGAUUAAAACUCAAAGGAAUUGACGGG